Molecule: ribosomal RNA, 497 nt
Filed under: uncultured bacterium
Lineage: Bacteria
Description: partial 16S ribosomal RNA
Rfam family: Bacterial small subunit ribosomal RNA
Source: RNAcentral
GAUGAACGCUGGCGGCGUGCCUAAUACAUGCAAGUCGAGCGAACGGACGAGAAGCUUGCUUCUCUGAUGUUAGCGGCGGACGGGUGAGUAACACGUGGAUAACCUACCUAUAAGACUGGGAUAACUUCGGGAAACCGGAGCUAAUACCGGAUAAUAUUUUGAACCGCAUGGUUCAAAAGUGAAAGACGGUCUUGCUGUCACUUAUAGAUGGAUCCGCGCUGCAUUAGCUAGUUGGUAAGGUAACGGCUUACCAAGGCAACGAUGCAUAGCCGACCUGAGAGGGUGAUCGGCCACCCUGGAACUGAGACACGGUCGCGACUCCUACGGGAGGCCGCAGUAGGGAAUCUUCCGCAAUGGGCGAAAGCCUGACGGAGCAACGCCGCGUGAGUGAUGAAGGUCUUCGGAUCGUAAAACUCUGUUAUUAGGGAAGAACAUAUGUGUAAGUAACUGUGCACAUCUUGACGGUACCUAAUCAGAAAGCCACGGCUAACUACGUG